This 96-nucleotide Y RNA is filed under the name Saimiri boliviensis boliviensis (Bolivian squirrel monkey). RNAcentral describes it as "Y RNA (ENSSBOG00000004912.1)". It matches the Rfam family "Y RNA". From Rfam's summary of the family: Y RNAs are components of the Ro ribonucleoprotein particle (Ro RNP), in association with Ro60 and La proteins. The Y RNAs and Ro60 and La proteins are well conserved, but the function of the Ro RNP is not known. The record is from Rfam by way of RNAcentral. Lineage: Eukaryota; Metazoa; Chordata; Mammalia; Primates; Cebidae.
GGCUGGUCCAAGUAUAGUGAUGUUUACAACUAACUGAUCAACACUAGUUACAGAUGUUCCUUCUCCACUCCCACUGCUCCACUUGUCUAGCCUUAU